CCUACGGGUGGCAGCCGUGGGGAAUAUUGCACAAUGGGGGAAACCCUGAUGCAGCGACGCCGCGUGAGUGAAGAAGUAUCUCGGUACGUAAAGCUCUAUCAGCAGGGAAGAAAAUGACGGUACCUGACUAAGAAGCCCCGGCUAACUACGUGCCAGCAGCCGCGGUAAUACGUAGGGGGCAAGCGUUAUCCGGAUUUACUGGGUGUAACGGGAGCGUAGACGGCAGCGCAAGUCUGGAGUGAAAUGCCGGGGCCAAACCCCGGAACUGCUUUGGAAACUGUGCAGCUGGAGUGCAGGAGAGGUAAGCGGAAUUCCUAGUGUAGCGGUGAAAUGCGUAGAUAUUAGGAGGAACACCAGUGGCGAAGGCGGCUUACUGGACUGUAACUGACGUUGAGGCUCGAAAGCGUGGGGAGCAAACAGGAUUAGAUACCCCAGUAGUC
Molecule: ribosomal RNA, 440 nt
Filed under: uncultured bacterium
Lineage: Bacteria
Description: partial 16S ribosomal RNA
Rfam family: Bacterial small subunit ribosomal RNA
Source: RNAcentral